GUAGGGUGUGAGAGGGUGUGAGGUUGUGUAUGGUGUGAGGCUGUGUAGGGUGUGAGGGUGUGAGGUUGUGUAGGGUGUGAGAGGGUGUGAGGCUGUGUAGGGUGUGAGAGAGUGUGAGCUUGUUUAGGGUGUGAGGUUGUGUAAAGUGUUAGAGGGUGUGAGGUUGUGUAGGGUGUGAGAGGGUGUGAGGUUGUGUAAGGUGUGAGAGGGUGUGAGGUUGUGUAGAGUGUGAGAGGGUGUGAGGUUGUGUAGAGUGUGAGAG
This is a long non-coding RNA of Anguilla rostrata (American eel), 262 nucleotides long. RefSeq lists it as uncharacterized. The record is from RefSeq and is a predicted model, not a curated record. The transcript has 3 exons. NCBI's taxonomy places the organism in Eukaryota, Metazoa, Chordata, Actinopteri, Anguilliformes, Anguillidae.